ACCUACGGGACGCAGCAGUGAGGAAUAUUGGGCAAUGGGGGCAACCCUGACCCAGCCAUGCCGCGUGUGAGAUGAAGGCCCUCGGGUUGUAAACCACUUUUGUAGAGAACGAAAAGACACCUUCGAAUAAAGGGUGUUGCUGACGGUACUCUAAGAAUAAGCACCGGCUAACUACGUGCCAGCAGCCGCGGUAAUACGUAGGGUGCGAGCGUUAAUCGGAAUUACUGGGUGUAAAGGGUGCGCAGGCGGUUGAGUAAGACAGAUGUGAAAUCCCCGAGCUUAACUCGGGAAUGGCAUAUGUGACU
This 305-nucleotide ribosomal RNA is filed under the name uncultured bacterium. RNAcentral describes it as "bacterial SSU rRNA". It matches the Rfam family "Bacterial small subunit ribosomal RNA", at positions 337 to 634 of the family's 1533-position model. The record is from RNAcentral.